GAGCCUCCUCGCCUACAUUUCAGGUCUUCUUGCCACUCUUGGACUCCAUCCUGGCUGAGAAGACGGUGAUUGUCCUGGAUGACUGAGUCACCAUCGCAGAGCUGGGAGUGCAGCUCAUGGCUGGCAUGUCUCUCUCCCUGCAGCCUCAACCAGCAGACAAAAGGGCCAUAGUCUCCACAGCCACUGCCCUGGAUGUUCUUCAUUCCCCACAGCAGGUGAGCGUUCCAGGGGCCCUGCAUCCCUGGUCAGUGGAGAUGACUUCUCUCUCAGAAGCAAUAGUAAGUUCUUGAACUUUGUUCAGUGAUGGUUUGGUGACACCUUUAGACAUUUAUGAUUCCAAGGAUUUUCCAUUUAUUGUCUCAUCAUUGAAAGACAUGGUGGUGUCUAUCCAGGUUCAAACCUUAAGCUCAAAUGGUUCUUAUUGCAGAGGACCCUUGAGUUAGACAUGAUGAUUAGUGAACCUGUCAGAAGACCAAGAGGAGGAGUGUUCUUACCCUGAGUAAAGAAAACUUCAAGGUCAAAUUUGAACCAAGUAGUGAUAAGCACCAAAUAUUUUUGUUUUAGGCGGGAAUGAUAUAGAGAGCAUAAAUCGGGAAUAUAAAGACCAACUCACUGGUUCCGUAAAGCACGAAGGAAGCCAGGAGAGACCAGUCCAGGAAUGGUUCCACCAAGGCACACCUGUUGGCCAAGAGGAAAGUACCAACAAAAGCACAACCCCCCAGUCUGCGGGUUGGACCCCCACAACCUCCCAUGGAUGGAAAUAAUAAGCUACUCAAAAGUGGUGGUCCAGAUACCUUCACAAGUUUCUCCACUCAAGGGAUGUCACCAGAUCCCAGUAGUCCUGGUGACCAUAAAGUGACCUCAAGGGGGCUAACGGUCUUGGAGAUUGGCAUGUGUGCCCUGUUCUGUGUG
This 912-nucleotide long non-coding RNA is filed under the name Homo sapiens (human). Its description in RNAcentral is "non-protein coding LINC02375:7". The record is from RNAcentral. Lineage: Eukaryota; Metazoa; Chordata; Mammalia; Primates; Hominidae.